RNAcentral lists this long non-coding RNA (4595 nucleotides) under Homo sapiens (human). RNAcentral's name for it is "HSALNT0046330". The record is from RNAcentral. Lineage: Eukaryota; Metazoa; Chordata; Mammalia; Primates; Hominidae.
UAGGCCCUAUAGCUACAUGAUAUCUCCACUGGGAGCCCUGUCCUUUCCAUGCCCUGGGAAAACCCGAUCUAAAGCAGAUUUAAAUGACUCAGCAGUAGGACUCAGGUCUCUGUCUCUGCCUGCUUACUUGGGGAGUGCUCCAGCCUUAGGGGCUCUCUUGCACUCCAACAUAGGAAAGAAAUUAUCGAUGGCUCCAUUCCCCAGCAUUUGAGACUUUUCUUCCCACAGACACAUUCCUGAGGACACCAGUCAUGGGUAAAGAACUCCACUGGGGUCAGCGUUGGAUCCCACUAGGCAGUUUAGGACUUGUAAGUAGAGUAGUGUGGACUUGGUGUUCCCAGAGCCUCUCACUCAUGAUUCAUGGCUCUCCACCCCAAGCAUCGGAACUUGCCCAACUUCACCACAGAAGGAAACAGACUGUAAGCUUGGAGGGCCAGGGAGGAAACCGGAGGCAUGUGUGGGAGGAUUAGAAACAUGAAAAGAUAUUUACAGUAAGGUUCGCUUGUCAUCCUCUUGAACUGGGGGUGCAUAGAGUACAAUAAGACCCCAUGUGAGUAUGUUAGAUGAUAAGGCUCAGGUUGGAUGGGUGUGUAGAGUAAAGGCUUUGCAUCACCUUUGCCAGGGUGAGGGAAGGCUAUGGAUAGCACAGGGGACCUUGAUGAUCGGGUGAGGGAGCCCAUGUGGACAUAGUGGUCACCAGCUACUUCCUAGUUCUCUACAUGGGAGAAAGAGCCCUUCUCUGUAAUCAUGGAAGCUCAAGUUCUUGGUGGUUCAGAGGUUAGAGACCUCUGAUUACUAGGACAGAGCAGAAUAGCAGGGCUGGUCCUGGUAGAUCAGACAUCUCAUGACAUCCUUUAAAAGGGACUAGAAUAUUCAGAACUCCGGUGUAACUAAAUGAUCCUCAAGCUUUACCAGCAGGUGAGCAAGGUCCCAUUGUAUUUGGUACUCACAUCCCCACCAAUUCUGUAAAAGUUUGCCAACUUUCCCCUCCAUCCCCUGCACCCUUUCACCAAAAGAUAUGCCUAAGAGUUCCCAAGAGACGUCUAACAUAGGCCUGCAUGUCAGCCCAGUCUUCUGGGCUGAGCUGCUGCACUGUUGCUGGCCUUGAUGGCUGAACCUGAUCUCUGUUGUGGCACCCACCACUCUUUCUCAAGCCUUGACACCUUGGCAGGCUUUGGCAAAAAGAGGAGAGCUGUUCUUCCUCGGCAUUAUGUUCACUUAGCAGGGUCCCACAGCAGGAUUGCUUGGACCCCAGAGUAUUGUAGGGCUUAAUAAGACCAGCCCUUUCAUCUCACACGCUCUAUCCUUUCUCUCACUGGUGCACCCACGUCAGGUGUCUUGAGUGGGGAGUGCUCGAAUAUCUGCCACCAGCUUGAGUCAGAACCUCGACUUCCCUCAGCUUUUCAGGGUCUGUUACUGAGUCUGGUCCACACUCCAGGGUCUUUUCCUCACGGUCUGGGUCUGGUCUUUUUCAGGUGCCUACCUUUCCUCCCUGCAAACUGCCUUGAGUUGCCUCCCCUUCUCCCUUCCUUCCUGGUCUGUCAGAGACAUCUUGUCUGGGUGCAUAUUUGAACCCCAUCAGUAGACAGAAAACAUGUAUUUCCUUGAAGGCCCCUCAGACCCCAGGUACAAACAUUGAAGUAAAUAACAGCAGGGAUGGGGGUUCUGCCUCGCUUCACCUGCCAGCCACGUGCAGACCUUGUUUCAGUCCAACUGAGACUUUAGCAAGUGCUUCAUUCUGGUUUGUGAAUGGCUUCCCAGUGUCUGUCACUGUGUUCACAGGGCCACCGGGGUUGGCUGAGUCAGAAUACCAGCCAUGUGGCAUGUCGCAUGGGGCAAGAGCUGUGCUGCCCAUGGGAGUCCAGAGAAGGAGCACACUAAGGACCAACACCAGCAUUUGCUCUAGGGGAAGCCUGCAGCUAUGUCAUGAGGACCCUCAACAGCCCUGUGCAGAGGACUAUGUGGCAUGAAAGAUACCUUCUGCCAACAACCAGCCCCAACUUGCCAAGCAUGUGAACAAGCUAAACUGAAAGCAGAUCUUCAGCCCCAAUCAAGCCUUCAGAUGACAGUAACCUCAGCCAAUAUACUGACUAUAACCUCAUAAAAGACCCUGAACCAGAACCCUCUAAGCCACUCUCAAACUCUACCCCACAUAAACUGUGAAAUAAUAUAUGUUUAUUGUUAUUUUGGGCCACUAAGUUUAGGGGUAAUUUGUUAUGCAGCAAUUAUAUAACCAAUAUUCCAACUAAAGCUGAAAUGCCUCCUGCAUUUCCUCCCUCAGUGGCCUACACUACAAUCCAAGUUCAGGAAAAAACGAGAACCUUAUUUAAGGUAGUGGCAAGAAAUGAAUGGAUUAACUGGACAUUUAAAAAGUAUUUGAUAGAACUUGGUGAUAGGAGGUGGGGCAGUUAGGGACUAGCAGGAAUUUAGGAUGAGAGGCUCAUUCAGUUGGGCUUAUGUUUUACUGAGGUCAAUUCCAAAAGGAAGGAAAGAAAAAUCCAGCCAAAUAACCUUUAAUGGACUAAGUCUUCUUUCAUAAGUCAGUUUGCACAACUUCUUCACAGGAAUCAGAUUUUAAAUAUCAUAACUGAAGAGAAAAAAAACAGCAAGAGGAGUUUACCUUUAUGGUGGAAUGACACUAAUCUUUCAUGCUUUCAAAUUUCUUGAAAUUUCCUUCGUAUGCAUUAUCUUAUUUGCUGUUCACAGUAAAACUGUGUAUUGGCUAAGCCAGUUUUUAUGAAAAUAUAAGCAGUGAGAAAAAGUAAGAUAGUAUGUCAGUUAGUAGAUUUUUUUAUGGACAUUGUGACAGAGGACACAACUUAAACUGGCUUUUUUUUUUUUUUUUUUUUUUUUGAGACAGAGUUUUGCUCUUGUUGCCCAGGCUGGAGUGCAAUGGCACGAUCUCGGCUCACUGCAACCUCCGCCCCCUGGGUUCAAGUGAUUCUCCUGCCUCAGCCUCCCGAGUAGCUGGAAACACAGGUGCCUGCCACCGCGUCCGGCUAAUUUUUUGUAUUUUUAGUAGAGAUGGAGUUUCACCAUGUUGGCCAGGCUAGUCUCAAACUCCUGACCUCAGGUGAUCCACCUGCCUCAGCCUCCCAAACUGCUGGGAUUACAGGUGUGAGCCACCGCACCUGGCAAAAGGGUUUUGUUUCUAAAGGUACAAGAACAGGUACAGCUUCGGGUCAGUGUGAUUCAGCCCUCAACAAAGCCACCAGGAUCCAUUUCUUGGCUCUGCUUCAUUGCUUCUCAUAGGCUGGCUCAUUCUCAGACUGUACGUGAUAUGGUUCAGUGGCUUUAGGCUCCAAGCAUGACAACACCCAACACUCAGAUUGAUGGAGCUAGAGCAAGUCUCUUCAGGCAGCGUCUAGGAAAGUUCUGAAAUUCACUCUGAUUGGCUGCCCAUCUCUGAAUCAACCACGUAACCCAAGGAAAUAGGAACUGCUGAUGGGUCAGGGUCGGUUCACAUGCUUCAUACCUGGAGCUGAGAAGACAUCAACUCCAUCCUGGAGCUCAUGGGCUGUGACUAGAGCAGACGGAGUUCUCAGAGGAAAGUCAGAGUACAGUUAUCAAAGCAAGCAGUUACAGAUGCUAGAUGACCAAAAUCCAAUAACUGCCCAGUAAAAAUAUUAUACUAAAAUCUAGGAACAUGUGGCUGAUGGACAGUCAUUACCAGGAAAAAAAAGUUGUUAGGUCUAAAUGUAAAAAUUGAGGCAAAGAAAGUGCCCGAGCUAGAAUUAGAACCCUGACUACCUGAAUAUUAGAUCGGUUAGUGCCACUUCUACCCUACCGCUGCUGAGGGGGGAGGUGAACAGUCUCUCAGGUUGCAGACAGUGGAUGGUUUCCCUCCCUCUAUCUUCUCAUUUCAUGGUGGAGCUGAAUCAUCCUAUGUUCUACAUGCUGACAGUGGAAGGUUAUGACCAUACCCAUAUCCUGUUGUCUCUGAGUCUCCUGUGGUGCAGAGAUCCCUGAGACUUGUAGAACAGAACCUGAGUGGAAAGUGGGAGGGGGAUUGGGGGUGGUUCCCACGAAUCAAGCAGCAACCUGGAGACAAGGAACACCUGCAACCUCAGCAGUGGAUCAGAACGGCUGACUGAGCAAUGGACAUACUGUGCAUCUUUCAUUAGUGCUGAGACCAACUUCUAGCUUGGAGUCCCAUGAAAGGGAAACUUAGCCCUAACACCACAACAAGGAGCACAGUGUCAAGUGGGGACAUUGCAGCAGAGUUGCCGCAAAGACUCUGAAGUGCUAUGGGAAGGGAUAUUUCCUAGGAGGGGUUAAAGGGAUUCUCCUUAAGAAGGGGGCUGGGGGAAUCUGAGUAAGAGGUGGGGGAAAGCAGCCAAAGCAUGAUACUUAGUCAUAGCAUCACAAGAAUUUGACUCAGAGUUCCUACAAGGUUGUCCUAAAAUGCCCUGGUUCAGGUGGGUCAGCUUUGAAAGCACCCAAAUUACCCCGUUUUCUGUACUAUGUUUAAAGGCAAUUUGAAAGAAAGACCCCUAAUUUGGAAACAUGUGCUAAGGCUAAAUCACUUUUUCAACUGAAAAUUCUUUUUUAUGUAUUGUUACACUCCAUUUUCUGUCUUGUGUUUUUUGUUGUUG